This is a long non-coding RNA of Rosa rugosa (rugosa rose), 1193 nucleotides long. RefSeq lists it as uncharacterized. The transcript has 5 exons. The record is from RefSeq and is a predicted model, not a curated record. Lineage: Eukaryota; Viridiplantae; Streptophyta; Magnoliopsida; Rosales; Rosaceae.
GAUUUUUUUCUCUUAAAUCUUGAAGUAGGCGGGCUCUUAAAACACGCUUUUCAAAAUGAAAAAAUCGGGGCAUAUUUAACUCUUAUAGACCCAAAACAUUAAAUCCCUAGCUCACAGGCCCUCUUAUCUUCAUCGUCUUCUCCCUCACUCCAUUGUUCUGUUCGCAAGUCAUGGUGGGUCGAGCCCUGAAUUCCGACCACCUUAGAUGACCCAUUCGAGCACGUAACGGUGUCGCUCUACCUCAAUUUGCUGAAGAACGAUUCCAAAGUUAACGGUCGUGUUAUGGGCUUCGAGCCCGAGCAAAUUACGAUUCGGUUACGAUAUCCUGGAUUACAGGUUUGUUUCUGAGAGCCUCGACUUCGACUCCAUCGGCGGCCUGGGCGAAGCUCUCGUCGCUUGUCUCCAGGAAGUCCCCGCCCUCUAUUUCAAAGAGGACUUCGCAUUGGAAGACGGCGCCACCUUCCGCUCCGCCUGCCCCUUCUCCGGCGUCGCCGAGAACCUCGUCCUCCAGGAGAAGCUCUCGCAUUACUUGGACCCAGAAGACCCAGAACUGUGUUGUUGGAGACACCCAGAGCUAGAAAAGGGGGCCGACGAUAUCACUGUCGGAGCAGUGCACAGACAACAAAAAGACAAGCUUGUUGCCUCUGCAGAUUGUGCUGGAGCUUUGGAUGUCACAGACGACCUACAACAUUUGCUGGUGUUUGUGUUGAAUAUAGAUACUAGAAGAUUAUUCUCACUGUGUUUCUGAUCCACCGUCUUCCCUGUCUUCCCUUAGUCCCAAAAUCUUUUUGUACAGUCUUUCAAUUACUCAAUUGAGUUUUCUCUGUUUAUCUAAUGCCAUACUGUUUGUGUUGAAUAUGAUUUAUGAUUGUGUAUUUCCAUUGCAGGCGGGAUUGUAGUUUCCAGUAUGGUAGCUUAGUUGAUUUGGUAGAUGGACAUACAUCAGUACUUUAUCAUAGGCUUCGGCUACUGGUUCCCAAUGUAUACAUGAAGAUUUGGUCUAAGCUUCAAAAAGUACGUACAUCUUGCAAACCCUCAUUGAAGGCUCAUUGAACUUCUAGAAAGACUUGAAUGUAUUUCUGUCUAUUUUGAAAUUGUUAUCAAGGAUGGACAUUAACAUCUCUAUAUUUUAAAUUUGCGAAUGUAGUAUUUCAAGAUGGAGAUAUUGAUAAUUGGUUUUAGAGUGCAUUUCA